Molecule: ribosomal RNA, 276 nt
Filed under: uncultured prokaryote
Description: partial 16S ribosomal RNA
Rfam family: Bacterial small subunit ribosomal RNA
Source: RNAcentral
UACAGAGGUGGCGAGCGUUGUUCGGAUUUACUGGGCGUAAAGGGCGCGUAGGCGGCCCCGUGUGUCGCGUGUGAAAGCCCCCGGGCUCAACCCGGGAAGUGCGCGCGAAACUGCGGGGCUCGAGCGGAGGAAGGGAGAGCGGAAUUCAUGGUGUAGCGGUGAAAUGCGUUGAUAUCAUGAGGAACACCGGUGGCGAAGGCGGCUCUCUGGAAUCCUGCUGACGCUGAGGCGCGAAAGCCGGGGGAGCAAACAGGAUUAGAUACCCGGGUAGUCCCU